Molecule: ribosomal RNA, 493 nt
Filed under: uncultured Lachnospiraceae bacterium
Lineage: Bacteria; Bacillati; Bacillota; Clostridia; Lachnospirales; Lachnospiraceae
Description: bacterial SSU rRNA
Rfam family: Bacterial small subunit ribosomal RNA
Source: RNAcentral
AUGAACGCUGCGGCGUGCCUAACACAUGCAAGUCGAACGAAGCAUCCACCCGCAGACAGAACCAGCUUGCUGGGAAGGAAGCAUAUGGGAUGACUGAGUGGCGGACGGGUGAGUAACGCGUGGGUAACCUGCCCCAUAGAGGGGGACGAACAGCUGGAAACGGCUGCUAAUACCGCAUGGGAAAGCGGGACCGCAUGGUCCUGUUUUUGAAAGAUUUAUCGCUAUGGGAUGGACCCGCGUCUGAUUAGCUGGUUGGUAAGGUAACGGCUUACCAAGGCGACGAUCAGUAGCCGGCUUGAGAGAGUGAACGGCCACAUUGGGACUGAGACACGGCCCAGACUCCUACGGGAGGCAGCAGUGGGGAAUAUUGCACAAUGGGGGGAACCCUGAUGCAGCGACGCCGCGUGAGUGAAGAAGUAUUUCGGUAUGUAAAACUCUAUCAGCAGGGAAGAUAAUGACGGUACCUGACUAAGAAGCCCCGGCUAACUACGUG